Molecule: long non-coding RNA, 474 nt
Filed under: Malus domestica (apple)
Lineage: Eukaryota; Viridiplantae; Streptophyta; Magnoliopsida; Rosales; Rosaceae
Description: long non-coding RNA (MDOM_LNC019609)
Source: RNAcentral
GCAUAUGGUCACUGGUUCUCGCAUCUAAGUAGUAGCAUUCCAUUUCAUGAGAUCAUAUCUCAAAAUGCUUAUUAACUCUAGAAAUUGUGUUCUUUGUUAUACAUAUAUGUGAGCAUUCGUUUUUAUAUCUACAUCAAUUCUCUCACAUAUAACUAGUAUAGGGUGUGUAGUUAGAAAAUCUGAGUGAAAAUAGAGUGCGUAUCUUGUAAGGAUUGAGGGAAUUCUCUAAGGCAUGUUACUACAUUCAAAACAUUGUUUUAAUUGGUUAAUUGUGAAUUAGUAAGCAGUGACUAUGAUUAAGUAUGUGCUUAAGUGUUAAAUUGACUCAAUUCUGUGGGAAUGAUAAUCUUUAACAUGUCAUGUGCAUUGGAAAUCCCUGUAGCAAAUGUUGGAAGGUUAGGUUAUGUUUUAUUUGUUUUAUUUUGCUCGAGGACUAGCAAUAGCUAAGUGUGGGGGAAUUUGAUAGACGCAUAU